CCUACGGGAGGCAGCAGUAGGGGAUCUUCCACAAUGGGCGAAAGUCUGAUGGAGCAACGCCGCGUGAGUGAAGAAGGGUUUCGGCUCGUAAAGCUCUGUUGGUAGUGAAGAAAGAUAGAGGUAGUAACUGGCCUUUAUUUGACGGUAAUUACUUAGAAAGUCACGGCUAACUACGUGCCAGCAGCCGCGGUAAUACGUAGGUGGCAAGCGUUGUCCGGAUUUAUUGGGCGUAAAGCGAGUGCAGGCGGUUCACUAAGAUUGAUGUGAAAACCUUUGGCU
This 279-nucleotide ribosomal RNA is filed under the name uncultured bacterium. Its description in RNAcentral is "partial 16S ribosomal RNA". It matches the Rfam family "Bacterial small subunit ribosomal RNA", at positions 338 to 609 of the family's 1533-position model. The record is from RNAcentral.